AGUGAACGCUGGCGGUAGGCCUAACACAUGCAUGUCGAACGGCAGCACAGGAGAGCUUGCUCUCUGGGUGGCGAGUGGCGGACGGGUGAGGAAUACAUCGGAAUCUACUCUGUCGUGGGGGAUAACGUAGGGAAACUUACGCUAAUACCGCAUACGACCUACGGGUGAAAGCAGGGGAUCUUCGGACCUUGCGCGAUUGAAUGAGCCGAUGUCGGAUUAGCUAGUUGGCGGGGUAAAGGCCCACCAAGGCGACGAUCCGUAGCUGGUCUGAGAGGAUGAUCAGCCACACUGGAACUGAGACACGGUCCAGACUCCUACGGGAGGCAGCAGUGGGGAAUAUUGGACAAUGGGCGCAAGCCUGAUCCAGCCAUACCGCGUGGGUGAAGAAGGCCUUCGGGUUGUAAAGCCCUUUUGUUGGGAAAGAAAUCCAGCUGGUUAAUACCCGGUUGGGAUGACGGUACCCAAAGAAUAAGCACCGGCUAACUUCGUGCCAGCAGCCGCGGUAAUACGAAGGGUGCAAGCGUUACUCGGAAUUACUGGGCGUAAAGCGUGCGUAGGUGGUUAUUUAAGUCCGUUGUGAAAGCCCUGGGCUCAACCUGGGAACUGCAGUGGAUACUGGAUGACUAGAAUGUGGUAGAGGGUAGCGGAAUUCCUGGUGUAGCAGUGAAAUGCGUAGAGAUCAGGAGGAACAUCCAUGGCGAAGGCAGCUACCUGGACCAACAUUGACACUGAGGCACGAAAGCGUGGGGAGCAAACAGG
RNAcentral lists this ribosomal RNA (759 nucleotides) under uncultured Stenotrophomonas sp. RNAcentral describes it as "bacterial SSU rRNA". It matches the Rfam family "Bacterial small subunit ribosomal RNA", at positions 28 to 776 of the family's 1533-position model. The record is from RNAcentral. Lineage: Bacteria; Pseudomonadati; Pseudomonadota; Gammaproteobacteria; Lysobacterales; Lysobacteraceae.